Molecule: ribosomal RNA, 465 nt
Filed under: uncultured bacterium
Lineage: Bacteria
Description: bacterial SSU rRNA
Rfam family: Bacterial small subunit ribosomal RNA
Source: RNAcentral
CCCCAGACUCCUACGGGAGGCAGCAGUGAGGAAUAUUGGUCAAUGGACGAGAGUCUGAACCAGCCAAGUAGCGUGAAGGAUGACUGCCCUAUGGGUUGUAAACUUCUUUUAUAAAGGAAUAAAACGAGGCACGUGUGCCUUUUUGCAUGUACUUUAUGAAUAAGGAUCGGCUAACUCCGUGCCAGCAGCCGCGGUAAUACGGAGGAUCCGAGCGUUAUCCGGAUUUAUUGGGUUUAAAGGGAGCGUAGAUGGGUUGUUAAGUCAGGGGUAAAAGCCGGGGGCCAAACCCGGGCGAGCCGUUGAAACUGGCUGUCUUGAGAUGUCGAGAGGUAUGCGGAAUGCGCAGUGUAGCGGUGAAAUGCUUAGAUAUUGCGCAGAACUCCGAUUGCGAAGGCAGCAUACCGGCGGCGAUCUGACGCUGAGGCACGAAAGCGUGGGUAUCGAACAGGAUUAGAUACCCGGGUA